This 370-nucleotide ribosomal RNA is filed under the name uncultured bacterium. RNAcentral's name for it is "bacterial SSU rRNA". It matches the Rfam family "Bacterial small subunit ribosomal RNA", at positions 527 to 896 of the family's 1533-position model. The record is from RNAcentral.
GGGGGUUGCGAGCGUUGUCCGGAAUUACUAGGCGUAAAGGGCAAAUAGGCGGAUCUACGAGUUUUUUGUUUUUUUCUACGGCUCAACUGUAGUAGAGCAGGAGAUACUGUAGGUCUGGAAUGCGGUAGGGGAAGACAGAAUUCCUGGUGUAGCGGUGGAAUGCGCAGAGAUCAGGAGGAAUACCGAAGGCGAAGGCAGUCUUCUAGGCCGUAAUUGACGCUUAACUGCGAAGGUGUGGGGAUCAAACAGGAUUAGAUACCCUGGUAGUCCACACAGUAAACGAUAAUCACUAGAUGUCGGGUUCUAGAUGGAUUCGGUGUCGGAGCUAACGCGAUAAGUGAUUCGCCUGGGGAGUACGAUCGCAAGGUUG